RNAcentral lists this ribosomal RNA (423 nucleotides) under Vibrio parahaemolyticus. Its description in RNAcentral is "bacterial SSU rRNA". It matches the Rfam family "Bacterial small subunit ribosomal RNA", at positions 108 to 527 of the family's 1533-position model. Lineage: Bacteria; Pseudomonadati; Pseudomonadota; Gammaproteobacteria; Vibrionales; Vibrionaceae. The record is from RNAcentral.
GAGUAAUGCCUAGGAAAUUGCCCUGAUGUGGGGGAUAACCAUUGGAAACGAUGGCUAAUACCGCAUGAUGCCUACGGGCCAAAGAGGGGGACCUUCGGGCCUCUCGCGUCAGGAUAUGCCUAGGUGGGAUUAGCUAGUUGGUGAGGUAAGGGCUCACCAAGGCGACGAUCCCUAGCUGGUCUGAGAGGAUGAUCAGCCACACUGGAACUGAGACACGGUCCAGACUCCUACGGGAGGCAGCAGUGGGGAAUAUUGCACAAUGGGCGCAAGCCUGAUGCAGCCAUGCCGCGUGUGUGAAGAAGGCCUUCGGGUUGUAAAGCACUUUCAGUCGUGAGGAAGGUAGUGUAGUUAAUAGCUGCAUUAUUUGACGUUAGCGACAGAAGAAGCACCGGCUAACUCCGUGCCAGCAGCCGCGGUAAUACG